Molecule: transfer RNA, 87 nt
Filed under: bacterium
Lineage: Bacteria
Description: tRNA-Ser
Rfam family: tRNA
About the family: Transfer RNA (tRNA) molecules are approximately 80 nucleotides in length. Their secondary structure includes four short double-helical elements and three loops (D, anti-codon, and T loops). Further hydrogen bonds mediate the characteristic L-shaped molecular structure. tRNAs have two regions of fundamental functional importance: the anti-codon, which is responsible for specific mRNA codon recognition, and the 3' end, to which the tRNAs corresponding amino acid is attached (by aminoacyl-tRNA synthetases). tRNAs cope with the degeneracy of the genetic code in two manners: having more than one tRNA (with a specific anti-codon) for a particular amino acid; and 'wobble' base-pairing, i.e. permitting non-standard base-pairing at the 3rd anti-codon position.
Source: RNAcentral
GGAGUCGUGUCCGAGCGGUUUAAGGUGCAAUCUUGGAAAGGUUGUGUGGGAGCAAUUCCACCGUGAGUUCGAAUCUCACCGACUCCG